RNAcentral lists this transfer RNA (24 nucleotides) under Ursus arctos (brown bear). Its description in RNAcentral is "partial tRNA-Ile". The record is from RNAcentral. Lineage: Eukaryota; Metazoa; Chordata; Mammalia; Carnivora; Ursidae.
GAGGUUAGAAUCCUCUUAUUUCUA